This 750-nucleotide ribosomal RNA is filed under the name uncultured bacterium. RNAcentral describes it as "bacterial SSU rRNA". It matches the Rfam family "Bacterial small subunit ribosomal RNA", at positions 61 to 810 of the family's 1533-position model. The record is from RNAcentral.
GUCGAACGGUAGAGGGGGCAACCCCUCGAGAGUGGCGAACGGGUGAGUAAUAUAUCGGAACGUGCCCAGUCGUGGGGGAUAACGUAGCGAAAGUUACGCUAAUACCGCAUACGAUCUACGGAUGAAAGCGGGGGAUCGCAAGACCUCGCGCGAUUGGAGCGGCCGAUAUCAGAUUAGGUAGUUGGUGGGGUAAAGGCUCACCAAGCCAACGAUCUGUAGCUGGUCUGAGAGGACGACCAGCCACACUGGAACUGAGACACGGUCCAGACUCCUACGGGAGGCAGCAGUGGGGAAUUUUGGACAAUGGACGCAAGUCUGAUCCAGCCAUUCCGCGUGCAGGAUGAAGGCCCUCGGGUUGUAAACUGCUUUUGUACGGAACGAAAAGGUUUCCAUUAAUACUGGGAGCUCAUGACGGUACCGUAAGAAUAAGCACCGGCUAACUACGUGCCAGCAGCCGCGGUAAUACGUAGGGUGCAAGUGUUAAUCGGAAUUACUGGGCGUAAAGCGUGCGCAGGCGGUUAUGUAAGACAGAGGUGAAAUCCCCGGGCUCAACCUGGGAACUGCCUUUGUGACUGCAUAGCUAGAGUACGGUAGAGGGGGAUGGAAUUCCGCGUGUAGCAGUGAAAUGCGUAGAUAUGCGGAGGAACACCGAUGGCGAAGGCAAUCCCCUGGACCUGUACUGACGCUCAUGCACGAAAGCGUGGGGAGCAAACAGGAUUAGAUACCCUGGUAGUCCACGCCCUAAACGAU